This 224-nucleotide long non-coding RNA is filed under the name Citrus maxima (pomelo). RNAcentral's name for it is "long non-coding RNA (CMAX_LNC001047)". The record is from RNAcentral. Lineage: Eukaryota; Viridiplantae; Streptophyta; Magnoliopsida; Sapindales; Rutaceae.
GAGCAUUUGGUGGAGGAGGUGGCAUACCCGGACGAAAGACAGGAGCACCAGGUGGAGGAGGCAUCCCAGGACGAGGAGGAGGUGCGUUGGGCAUCCCUGGCCUUGGCGGGCCAGAUGGAGGUCCUCUCAUCAUUGGCCCAGGCGGCGGCGGGACCAUAGGUCUCUGCCCAAACUGCUGAGGCGGCAUAGGGAACUGCUGAGGUGGCCUCACACCAAAACCCUGU